CUGUCGUCAGCUCGUGUCGUGAGAUGUUGGGUUAAGUCUCGCAACGAGCGCAACCCCUAUCCUUAGUUGCCAGCAUUAAGUUGGGCACUCUAGGGAGACUGCCUGGGUUAACCAGGAGGAAGGUGGGGAUGACGUCAAGUCCUCAUGGCCCUUAUGUCCAGGGCUACACACGUAAUACAAUGGUACAUACAAAGGGAAGCGAACCUGUGAGGGGGAGCAAAUCUCAAAAAGUGUAUCUCAGUCCGGAUUGGAGUCUGCAACUCGACUCCAUGAAGUUGGAAUCGCUAGUAAUCGCGGAUCAGCACGCCGCGGUGAAUACGUUCCCGGGCCUUGUACACACCGCCCGUCACACCAU
This 355-nucleotide ribosomal RNA is filed under the name uncultured Bacteriovorax sp. RNAcentral describes it as "bacterial SSU rRNA". It matches the Rfam family "Bacterial small subunit ribosomal RNA", at positions 1049 to 1405 of the family's 1533-position model. Lineage: Bacteria; Pseudomonadati; Bdellovibrionota; Bacteriovoracia; Bacteriovoracales; Bacteriovoracaceae. The record is from RNAcentral.